This is a long non-coding RNA of Triplophysa rosa, 2444 nucleotides long. RefSeq lists it as uncharacterized. The transcript has 3 exons. The record is from RefSeq and is a predicted model, not a curated record. Lineage: Eukaryota; Metazoa; Chordata; Actinopteri; Cypriniformes; Nemacheilidae.
UGUGUUUAGUGUUUUGACUUUGUCGUGAAAGUUUAUUAUAACGCUUUGGCCCAUAGAAAGACCAUGAUAAACGUUUUUAGUUAAAUUCUUGAUUAUUCAUUGAAAGCCUGAAUUCAUUUAUCAAUUAUUCCUAUUUCUGUAUACAGUCAAACGUUAAUGGAUGCCCUCAUGAUGGAUGUUAAAAUGCCCUCAGCAUAUAUCAAACAAGACUGGCAGGAAACAUUUUAGGAGAACAAUGACCCGGCCAUAAAGCCUUUGGGGAAAAUGGAGGCCAUGUGAAAAACAAGAAACGAACUCAUCCCUCCGUUUGAUUCCAUUUUAGCGGCACGUCCCUCCUCCCAGGUAAGUGUUGCGUGUAACCUUCAGUCUUCUGGGACAGAGCUGCUUUGUGUUAAAGUUCCUCCGGUAUUCCCCUCCGCUGCUUAUGUUUUUUCAUGACGUUUUUUAUCUCUCUCAGACAUAUGUCCCUCGUCACUCUCUGUUCUUAUCAGUCUUCUCUCAGAGUGAGGCCUUGACCACCCCUGGGGAGGAGACGAUCUUUCCACUAAAUUCACUCUCUCCGCUGAAGCCUCUUGUGAUGGGGAGAGCUGUCACUCAUCCUGACUCAGGUGACCCCCUGAAGAACACAAAAGAAGAAGGACGUUGGUAACCAAACAACAUUGGAUGCAUUGACUUCUAUUGUAUGGAAACAAAACCACGUUCAGAGACAUUUUCCAAAAUAUCUUAUUUGUGUGUAUUCCACAGAUGAAACAAAGUCAAAUAGGUUUGGAAUGAGAUGAGGGUGAGUGAAUGAUGCACUUACUUUGCUUUUUGGGUGAACUAUUCCUUUAAAGAAAAAGGUAUACACAAAUUGUGAAGGUGAAAAACUGUAUUAGUCUUGCCGAGGUGAGAAAAGCAAGUGGGAAAUGUCAGAUCUCCCAGCUAAGGUGGAGGCAGGAGGUGGAACCACAUACCAGUUUUCUUCUGUUGAAAUGAUAACUUAAACAGAUUAAUUAGUGAACCAUGUAUAAAUACAUUUGUGGCGUUCUCGGUUCAUUUGCCCCGAAAAUAAUCUGCAGAUUCAUUAAUGGGGGAAAUUACCCAGAGAGCCCCUGAACUAUCCAUUUAAAAUGACGCUUCAUCUACUUUCAAUUACCUCUAAAGCGCGGAGGAAUACUGAACAGAUCCAGCUGUUGUGCCAUUAUGGUUUGAAAUGUUUCAUUUUUCCAUCUCAAAGCUUCAAGGAGAGCCAGUGUACAAGUGUUUCUAUUUAAUGCAUGUUUUAAUCCAUUAUGGGGAGAUAUGAAACACUGAUUCUUGUGUGCUCGAACUGCUCUGUUCAUAAAAUGAAGAAAAGCAUAACAGACACCAAGGUCAUUGGUUUGAUAUGUACGCAACGUAUGUGGAAUGAUCAACCUUGUGUGUUGCUUCAUUGGAUAAAAUGUCUACUGAAUGAAUAGCAUGUUGGUAUUUUGGGGCUAUUUUUUAAAACAUUAAAGGGACAGUUCACCCCAAAAUAAAAAUUCUGUCAGCAUUUACUCACCCUCGAGUUGAGAAAGGUAUGUGGAAGACAAACAGUUCUUGGCCACCAUUGACUAACUGCCAUAGUAGGAAAAAUUACAAUGGUAAAUAAAAGUGCCCCAGAACUGUUUACUUUCCUACAUUCUUCAAAAUAUCUUCUUUUGUGUUCAAUUUAUAAAGCAAAUUUUCCCACUAUGGUAGUCAAUGGUGGCCAAGAACUGUUUGGUUACAAGCAUUCUUCCAAAUAUCUUUCUCUGUGUUCAUCAUAACAAAGAAAUUCGUACAGAUUUGGAACAACUUGAGGUCAUGGACCACAGAGCUUCACUCUAGUUGCCAUGUAUGAUGUCCAUCUGUCUGGGCUACACAGUCCAGCUGUGAUCCAGUCUGAGCGCUGUCACAUACUGGAACAAUAAACACGAGUAUCUGGCAUCCCACAGAACACUUCUGACAUGAUUGAAAGGCAGAGCUAUCCAGCGCUGGGCAUGGAAACCAUUAGAAGAUGGGCAAGAUGCUCCGAACAGACAAGGUGAAUGAGCAGUGUCUAUAAACUAGAACAGCUGCAGGAUUGCUGGCCAUUCACAUUCAAAUAUGUGAAGUAAUUUAUUGGCACAGAUGCAUGUAAUUGAAAUUCGACUACCUGAUGUCUGCUUCUCAAUGUGUACUGACAGAUGUACAGAUGUUUGAAGAAAUGUGAGCUUAUAUUAAUUUGUAGACAAACAUACUGAAUCAAAUUAAAACAUGAAAUACAAAUCUACCUGUUCACUUUUGAUACAUUUUAGUCUUUACAAAUGACAUAUUUUUCAACACAAUCUCACAGAAAUUCGUAACUUCUUUACGAGGAGGCAAAUUUUAAUUCAUACAACCGUAUUCAUACGUUUUGGUACAGUUUGCUCUCUUGCUUGUGAUGUUAAGUUUAGGGGUGGGGUUAGGGGAGGGGCUUCAGU